CCCAGACUCCUACGGGAGGCAGCAGUGGGGAAUAUUGGGCAAUGGGCGCAAGCCUGACCCAGCAAUGCCGCGUGAAGGAAGAAGGCUUUCGGGUUGUAAACUUCUUUGACAGGGGAAGAGCAGAAGACGGUACCCUGAAAACAAGCCACGGCUAACUACGUGCCAGCAGCCGCGGUAAUACGUAGGUGGCAAGCGUCGUCCGGAUUUACUGGGUGUAAAGGGAGCGUAGACGGCGAUGCAAGCCAGAUGUGAAAGCCCGGGGCCCAACCCCGGGACUGCUCUGGAAACUGCGGCGCUGGAGUACGGGAGGGGGAGGCGGAAUUCCUGGUGUAGCGGUGAAAUGCGUAGAUAUCAGGAGGAACACCGGCGGCGAAGGCGGCCUGCUGG
RNAcentral lists this ribosomal RNA (387 nucleotides) under uncultured bacterium. RNAcentral's name for it is "bacterial SSU rRNA". It matches the Rfam family "Bacterial small subunit ribosomal RNA", at positions 330 to 732 of the family's 1533-position model. The record is from RNAcentral.